Molecule: ribosomal RNA, 1092 nt
Filed under: Safagamyces marinus
Lineage: Eukaryota; Fungi; Ascomycota; Sordariomycetes; Microascales; Halosphaeriaceae
Description: SSU rRNA
Rfam family: Eukaryotic small subunit ribosomal RNA
Source: RNAcentral
UGCAUGUCUAGUAUAAGCAAUUAUACCGCGAAACUGCGAAUGGCUCAUUAUAUAAGUUAUCGUUUAUUUGAUAGCACGUUACUACUUGGAUAACCGUGGUAAUUCUAGAGCUAAUACAUGCUAAAAAUCCCGACUCCGGAAGGGAUGUAUUUAUUAGAUUAAAAACCAAUGCCCUUCGGGGCUUACUGGUGAUUCAUGAUAACUUCUCGAAUCGCAUGGCCUUGCGCCGGCGAUGGUUCAUUCAAAUUUCUUCCCUAUCAACUUUCGAUGCGAAGGUCUUGUCUUCGCAUGGUUACAACGGGUAACGGAGGGUUAGGGCUCGACCCCGGAGAAGGAGCCUGAGAAACGGCUACUACAUCCAAGGAAGGCAGCAGGCGCGCAAAUUACCCAAUCCCGACUCGGGGAGGUAGUGACAAUAAAUACUGAUACAGGGCUCUUUUGGGUCUUGUAAUUGGAAUGAGUACAAUUUAAAUCCCUUAACGAGGAACAAUUGGAGGGCAAGUCUGGUGCCAGCAGCCGCGGUAAUUCCAGCUCCAAUAGCGUAUAUUAAAGUUGUUGUGGUUAAAAAGCUCGUAGUUGAACCUUGGGCCUGGCUGGCCGGUCCCCCUCACCGGGUGCACUGAUCCAGCCGGGCCUUUCCCUCUGUGGAACCCCAUGGCCUUCGCUGGUCGUGGCGGGGAAACAGGACUUUUACUUUGAAAAAAUUAGAGUGCUCCAGGCAGGCGUAUGCUCGAAUACAUUAGCAUGGAAUAAUAAAAUAGGACGCGUGGUUCUAUUUUGUUGGUUUCUAGGACCGCCGUAAUGAUUAAUAGGGACAGUCGGGGGCAUCAGUAUUCAAUUGUCAGAGGUGAAAUUCUUGGAUCUAUUGAAGACUAACUACUGCGAAAGCAUUUGCCAAGGAUGUUUUCAUUGAUAAGGAACGAAAGUUAGGGGAUCGAAGACGAUCAGAUACCGUCGUAGUCUUAACUAUAAACUAUGCCGACUAGGGAUCGGACGAUGUUAUUUUUUGACUCGUUCGGCACCUUUCGAGAAAUCAAAGUGCUUGGGCUCCAGGGGGAGUAUGGUCGCAAGGCUGAAACUUAAAGAAAUGAC